Myodes glareolus (Bank vole) is the source of this 658-nucleotide non-coding RNA. The record is from RefSeq and is a predicted model, not a curated record. Lineage: Eukaryota; Metazoa; Chordata; Mammalia; Rodentia; Cricetidae.
CAUGGAAUCAGCUAAUGCAUCCGUGAGAUCAAUGUCUAACUUUGACAUCUGCUCCCGAUUGUGCUGUCCCGCCACCAGUGAAAACCUCAGAAAGCUUUGAGAAACAACAGGGGACAAAAUGACAAGAGAAGGGGAGACUCACUAAGCCACUGAACCUUAAUUUAUGGUGAGAGCUAUGUCUCGUCACUCAGGAUAGCGCUUCAGGUAUCUGUGGAGGCCAGAAGGCACCAGAGCCACUGAACUGGAAUUACAGACAGUAACUGUGAACCACCUGCUGUGAAUGCUGAGACCUGAACCUGCCUUCUCUACAACAGCAGCAGGCCAUCUCUCCAGCCCACACUUCUUUUUUUCUUUCUUUUCUAAUUAAAAACUUUGGAGUAAGUUUUACUUUGGAGCAUCCUCAUCAAGUGGACAUGAGUACAUGUGUUACCUGGAUCCGCAUACAAAGAAUGCGCAUUUUAAUUUAGGAAAAUUAAAUGCUAUUUGUUUUGUCAACAGCUCUGGAUCACGCAAGUUUGCAGACCCUCCUCUGUUUUCUUGGACGACUACAGGCGUGAGUGCUGUGUGGUUUUGGGCUUUUUUUAAAGAUGUAUUUAUUAAGUAUACAGUGGUCUGUCUUCAUGCAUGCCUGCAGGCCAGAAGAGGGCUCCAGAUCUCA